GACGAACGCUGGCGGCGUGCUUAACACAUGCAAGUCGAGCGGUAAGGCCCUUUCGGGGGUACACGAGCGGCGAACGGGUGAGUAACACGUGGGUGACCUGCCCUCAGCUCUGGGAUAAGCCUGGGAAACCGGGUCUAAUACCGGAUAUGACUCCAUGACGCAUGUUGUGGGGUGGAAAGCCUUGUGCGGCUGAGGAUGGGCCCGCGGCCUACCAGCUUGUU
This 221-nucleotide ribosomal RNA is filed under the name uncultured bacterium. RNAcentral's name for it is "partial 16S ribosomal RNA". It matches the Rfam family "Bacterial small subunit ribosomal RNA", at positions 28 to 250 of the family's 1533-position model. The record is from RNAcentral.